This 253-nucleotide ribosomal RNA is filed under the name uncultured bacterium. Its description in RNAcentral is "partial 16S ribosomal RNA". It matches the Rfam family "Bacterial small subunit ribosomal RNA", at positions 524 to 776 of the family's 1533-position model. The record is from RNAcentral.
UACAGAGGUCCCAAGCGUUGUUCGGAUUCACUGGGCGUAAAGGGUGCGUAGGUGGUGAGGUAAGUCGGAUGUGAAAGCUCGGAGCUCAACUCCGAAAUGGCAUUGGAAACUACCUUGCUCGAGGGUUGGAGGGGGGACUGGAAUACUUGGUGUAGCAGUGAAAUGCGUAGAUAUCAAGUGGAACACCAGUGGCGAAGGCGGCUCACUGGCCCGAUACUGACGCUGAGGCACGAAAGCGUGGGGAGCAAACAGG